GAAGAAGGCCUUUUGGUUGUAAAGCUCUUUUUGCAGGGAGGAGAGGCUAAUGGUUAAUACCCAUUAGAUUAGACGUUACCUGCAGAAUAAGCCCCGGCUAACUCUGUGCCAGCCGCCGCGGUAAUACAGAGGGUGCGAGCGUUAAUCGGAAUUACUGGGCGUAAAGCGAGUGUAGGUGGCUCAUUAAGUCACAUGUGAAAUCCCCGGGCUUAACCUGGGAACUGCAUGUGAUACUGGUGGUGCUAGAAUAUGUGAGAGGGAAUUAGAAUUCCAGGUGUAGCGGUGAAAUGCGUAAAGAUCUGGAGGAAUACCGAUGGCGAAGGCAGCUUCCUGGCAUAAUAUUGACACUGAGAUUCGAAAGCGUGGGUAGCAAACAGGAUUAGAUACCCUGGUAGUCCACGCCGUAAACGAUGUCUACUAGCCGUUGGGGUCCUUGAGACUUUACUGGCGCAGUUAACGCGAUAAGUAGACCGCCUGGGGAGUACGGCCGCAAGGUUAAAACUCAAAUGAAUUGACGGGGGCCCGCACAAGCGGUGGAGCAUGUGGUUUAAUUCUAUGCAACGCGAAGAACCUUACCUGGUCUUGACAUACUGAGAAUCCUGCA
Molecule: ribosomal RNA, 604 nt
Filed under: Enhydrobacter sp. Se2Pw_3342
Lineage: Bacteria; Pseudomonadati; Pseudomonadota; Alphaproteobacteria; Hyphomicrobiales
Description: bacterial SSU rRNA
Rfam family: Bacterial small subunit ribosomal RNA
Source: RNAcentral